GGACCCGGAGGGACGAACCUCUAGUGCGCCAGUUGUCUCGCCAGAGGCAUCGCUGGGUAGCCAUGUUCGGAAAGGAUAAGCGCUGAAAGCAUCUAAGCGCGAAGCCCCCCUGAAGAUGAGGUAUCCCCUGGCCUUCGGGCCACUGAAGACCCCUCGGAGACCACGAGGUUGAUAGGCCGGAUGUGUAAGCGCAGCAAUGCGUUCAGCUUACCGGUACUAAUCGGUCGUGAGGCUUGACCAU
RNAcentral lists this ribosomal RNA (241 nucleotides) under Acidobacteriota bacterium. RNAcentral's name for it is "Acidobacteria bacterium partial 23S ribosomal RNA". It matches the Rfam family "Bacterial large subunit ribosomal RNA", at positions 2689 to 2925 of the family's 2925-position model. The record is from RNAcentral. Lineage: Bacteria; Pseudomonadati; Acidobacteriota.